UUAGCAUUUAGAUAUUAUGCUAUUUUGUCUGAAUAAUGAAUUUAUUUAGGUCGCAUGUAUAUAAGGACAGUGUACAUAAAAAAUAAUAGUAAGGACUCUGUCCGGUCAUUAAAAACCUGAAUCAGGGAAAUAAAAAUUUUUUAAACGCGAUCACAAAAUUUUGAUCAGUUAUAAAAAUGUUUCGAAAAAAUAGGUAUCAUUAUUUUUAUUUAUUUGUACAAAUAACGCGAACACAUUUGAUUGUUUUUUGAUCUUUACUAUUAUAAAUAAUGUCAAAAAUAUUAUAUUCUGGGAUAGUGAAAUUUAAAAUAAUACUUUGCAGAAAAGAAUUCAACAAAUUAUUUUUUUUUAGUCAUCGACGAAAUGGUUCAAAUUCAUAUUCAUAUAAGAUAAAUAAAUAUAAAGAUGAAUAUGUAAAAUCAAAUAUUGAAUUAUUAUAUUUUAUGGACUGAUAGUUUCGUGAUUAUGCAUCAAAGUUUUUUAAGUACAAAGGCGCACUUAAAUUAUUUUAACGUUUACAUACAUAUAUGCAAUGCGGAGUCUACACGGGCUUAUUGAUUGUCAUGCCAGAGGUUUGUUUUGGGGAAGCUCCAUUCUUUUCUUCUAACUAAAAAUGUAUCGGAGAUUUAGAGAGAAGUAAAAUUAUUCAAAACGACUUGAGUGAAUAAAAUCUUGAAACAGAUUUAACGCGUUCGCGUGUCAAGUACGAAAUUGAUAUCAAUUUUAUUUGAAAGAGAAAUCUGUUAAUUGAAAAUAUUUUACGUACAUCUAUACCACGCGAUAAUUAAUACCAAAGUUUGUUAAUGUGAGUCGAGUUAAUGAAGUUAUAUAUACGUUUAAUUUCGACACGUAACGAUAUUGAAAAUCUUUCUGACUUGUUACGAAUUUUAAUACCCGGAUAAUAUUCUUUAUCUAGAAUUAGAAUCUGCUGGGAUUUUCGCGUCAGCAUUUUUAUUUUUAAUACAUUUUAUAAUCCUAUAUAUUUUUAUGUUUUUUGGAAAAAUUGUUGUAGAAUCAACUAAGGUAGCAGACCUAGUACCCGAUCAGGGAACUAGUACCCGAUCACUUCAUGUAUUUGUGUAGAUAUAUUUAGUAAAAUUUAGUAAAUAUAGAUAUACAAAUACAUGAGUGAUCGGGUACUAGUUGGGUACUAUAUAUUAUAUAGUAUAUAUUUUUAAGAAUGAGGUUAAAGCUUUAA
Long non-coding RNA from Microplitis mediator, 1198 nucleotides. RefSeq lists it as uncharacterized. NCBI's taxonomy places the organism in Eukaryota, Metazoa, Arthropoda, Insecta, Hymenoptera, Braconidae. The record is from RefSeq and is a predicted model, not a curated record. The transcript is spliced from 3 exons.